Molecule: long non-coding RNA, 4388 nt
Organism: Sarcophilus harrisii (Tasmanian devil)
Lineage: Eukaryota; Metazoa; Chordata; Mammalia; Dasyuromorphia; Dasyuridae
Source: Ensembl
UUCACUCAUUUCACACUGUAGAAUUGGGGGCUGCAUUUGAUUUAGUGCUUCAGAAUAACACUGGCUCAGGAAUCAGAAGCCUUGGCUUCCAGUUCCAUCCCUGACGCUUCCUCCUCUGUCAGCUUGGGCAAGUCAUUUUGUCAUUUCUCACCUGUGUGUGCCUCAGUUUCCUCAUCUGUGAUCUGAGGGGAUUGGAUUAGAUGGCUUCCAAGGGCCUUUCUAGCUCUGGAUCUGUGUCCUAGAAUAAUUAUGUCUGACGUGAUGAUGGUUUUUGGCUGAAUUUGCAGAAAUGGGCCAAUUGCCGUGAGAUUACAAGGAAAGUAUGUAACAUAGAUGUGAUCUCCAUCGUAGUGACACACUCUGCAGGUAUUGGAAUCUCAGUGAUUGAGGGGGGAAGAGCAAGCAAAAUUUUAUCCCCGUUCAGGUCAGGGUGGCAGCUCAGUUUCAGUUUGAGAUGCGUGGACCACACUUGGAGAGGCCCUAACCAGGCCCCUGUCAAAUGUGCCUUAGACAAGGUUUGGACACGUCCUCUUGAGCGUGACUCUGCCGGAGGGGUUCAAGCCUUCACUGUAAGAGACACAGAACACUGCAUUGGGUGCCAUGGAAAAGGGGAUUUUGGGGGAUUGCCAAAUAAGCACACGUUGUUAUCAGAGUCAUGUGGAACGGAGCCCUCCGGCCCAGGCUGCUGCUCUGGGCUCCAUGUGGCCCAAGCCAUUGAGCUCCAUGUUGGCAGUGGGUAAUGGGACUCACAGUGUGUGAGUGUGUGUGUGUGUCCAUACUAAUUCCCCUCCUCUCUGAAGGGCUGAUUAUACCAGACCUGCCUGUCUCUUAGAAUGGAUUGUUUCUAACAUACGUCACCAUUUUCGUGUAUCGGAUAGAAGAAAACAAAAGUCUCCAAGUUGAGCUUUGUCAUGAAGACACCGUGUAAAUCUGUAUAUACAUUGAUCAUGUGCAGAGUGUAAGAUGAGCCAUGUCUGUGUUUGUGACGAUCUGCGGCUCGUCGCCGUUACGUUCAGGGAACUGCGUUCUGGAUGCUCCCGUGCUGCUCUCAGUGACAACGCCUGGCUUCCCGCUCCCUGCCCUGCAUGUGGGACCAACCUGGUUGUUCCCAGGGAGGCUCUGCCACUCUCUUAGAAUAAUUCAGGGGUGGGGGCAGGAGAGGAAUCUUUAUAGAAAUGGGGGCGAGGAAGAGAUUUCAUUUAGAAAUAAAACAGGCCCCUUUGCCUCAAAGCACAAAAAUAAAUAUUUGAAAAUAACGGGUUUUUCUCUCCCUUUGGCUUUUUGUAAAAUAUAAGUGAGCGAUAAUGUCUGUGUCCUAAUGUUUUUUUUUUUUAAUAAUGUGACCUUGUGAGUUCAAUGGGAAUCUGUGUGUGUGCGUGAGUGAGAAAGCGAGAGUGACCGAGAGCAAGAGCGAGAGCGAGAGAGAACGAACACAUCAGCUUAGGUCUGUAGGCCUCUACUCUGCUGUAUGGCUUGGAUUAAGUCGGGUUCAGGAGCUUAUCAUCAGAGUCUCCACACACAGGGAAAGCAAAUGUAUAAAUUCUUGAAACUGGCUUUCUUUUUCUUGAAUAAGAUACGGUAUUUCAGUAAAUUCCCUAAAAAUAGAGGGGAAAAUUUUGUAGUUGUCAAUGUGUGUUUAGAGCAAGUCAGUGCUGACAUUAUUGCCUCAUUAAACUAAUUUGGAAAUCAUGUCAGAGCAUAGCACCAUCUCUAAUUUGUUGCCUCGUUUUUAAAUGCACUUUUUAAAAGAUCUGCAUCAGAUUACUUCAAAGACAGCUACGUAAAGGAGAAAUUUGAAGCAUUUGAGUAUUAGCUUUAAAUAGUUCCAGCCCAGAUAUUUAAUAGAAUUAACCAAAUUACAGAUUUCCACUGUGUUGUGUAAACAACUGACAAAAAGUUUUAGGGCAGAAAAUAUAGUGGAUAUGCCAGCUUCGUUAUAUUUGAGUUACUUUUUGCUUACUAGCACAAUUUCUUUCCUAUAACAUUCUCAGUGCAAAAGCUUUUGUUCUUUUUUGAUGCAGUUGGCAAGAUAAUCAAGGGAGAUUUCCUAGUGAUUAUGAUCUAGUGCCCCCUACAGCACGUACACACACACAAAUGGACAAUUUUUCACUGUACUCAAAUAAUUCCUAUUUGCUCUAGUAACUGUCAAUGGCAAAAUGUUAAAAUUUCAAAUUUAAAAAAAUAAUUGUUUGUGUUAAUAGAAUAUCCCCAUUUCUGUUUUGGCCUAAAUUGUAAUCCUGGCUCUACUAGUGAUUUGUUACCUGUGUGACCUUGGAAAACCCAUUGUACCUUCAGAGGCCUUCGUUUUAUCAUCUAUAAAUUGGGGAGAUUAGAUGAAAUGAUCUCUGAGGUCCCUCCUGGGUUCUGAUCCCUUGACCUAUUGUCUCUAAGAGCUGACUUUUUUUUACAUCCAUCGCCUUAUUGGACAGAUGAGGAAAAGGACUUUUCCUAAACUCUCCUAAGUGGAGAGGCAGCUGUUGAAUGGACUCUGCUUCCAGGUAGGAGGAUUUCCCCUGAUGCUCCUGGACUCAUUCUGCCGCAUCCCCUGCUGGGAAAAGGUCUUUUCAAAUGUGCAUUCAAAGCAGAAAGAACUUGAACUUUUCUUUAUGAUUCCUUAGUUGAAUAUAUUCCAUGAUAUACCAUCAAGGACAGGCUAAACCCUGGCCACUUAAAAUAACAGUGCUAAAUUGAAUCCCCCUCUUUGCUCUUUUAAAUUAAUCAUCAUCCAGGGCAGUAGAUAGAGCACCAGCCCUGAAGUCAGGAGGACCUGAGUUCAAAUGUGACCUCAGACACUUAACACUUCCUAGCUGUGUGUCCUUGGGCAAGUUACUUAACCCCAAUUGCCCAAGCAAAAUAAAUAAUAAAUAAACUAAUCAUCAUCCACUCAGCUUUAUUUUGGUAAUGUAAAGAUUGCUCAACUAUGUAGGUAUUAGAUAAGAUUUCUAUUUUAACAACAAAAAAAUUUAUAUUAUUUAUUAAAUCCAUGCAUUUCAUUAAUUUCUAAAACAUUCCGUAUUAUUCUUGCUGCUUUUUUUUUUUUUUAAUCUGUAUAGUUUGGUAUUUAAAGAGAUAACAGUUCUUUUCACAUAGGAGAAAUGUCUUUUUAAAAAAAUGGAGUUAAAUGAAUUUUUUAAAACUAUGUUCAGCUUACCCAUUCCCUGAAAUUCAGAAGGUUUCUUUUUUUUGUAACUAAAAAAUUAGCUCAUUUUAACGUGAGUAGAGUUUUAUGCAGCAGCGUGACGGCCGAUCGCCAAGGAAUAGAUUACAAAGCCUAAUUCUUUUUGCCUGUAAAACAUACCUGCCUUUUGGUGUCUCACUGAAGAGUUUGCCAUGAAAUACUGCUUUAAUCUACCUCUUUCAAAAGAAGCUUCAUUCUGGUUGACAAAUUCCAAUCUGGCUAUGAUAGAACGAAUUAAUGGAGCACGUUUUCGGUUCUUUUCUUACUCUUAGUUGUUUCCUAUGUGAUUUAGAUUUUUUUUUCCUUAAGUCUAUUGAAUUUUGGGGGAAUUCUAUGACUGAUGGAGACUCGGAGCCUCCUAUAUAUGAGAUCUUUCAGGAUCUAUGUUAUUGCUGCUGUUUCUGCUGAGUGUUCUGUUUUUUUUUUUAGGCCAGGAGACCCAUCUCUGAUUAGAGCUGACCUGGUCUCGGUGAAAAAUGUUGAUCAAAUAUGAGAUCAGACUAUAGCUGUAAUGGAGUAGCAUUUAUUUAUGAGAGCUAAGUAUUAAGUGCAACUUGUAGGGGGUGGUGUGUGCCUUGAAUUUGAAUGGAAUCAUUCCCCUGGCCACUUCAAAUUAGUUUGGAACAUGAUAUUAGAGAGAUAACCCAUGUGUAUUGUGGGUUAUCGCUGAAGUCCUGGUGGGGAAAAAAAUGGGAAAAAAACAAAAACCAAUAAUGAAGUUGUUAAUUUUUUAAAGAGCAGUUUCUACACAGUCUAAUAUUAUUUAGUUACAUGUUCUCUUCUGCAAAUUUUGGAAAUUUAGGAGCAUUUUAGUAGAAUCAAUUAUGAAAACUUCUAAAAGGACCUUGAUUUUUGAUUGGGAGAGUUAACCUAAAAGGCCAGUAUUCCUGUAAAUAACCCAAGCUGUCAUACCUAGGAAGCAUCCUUGUCUGUUCUCUUCUGAACUUUGGCCCUUUCCUAUUUAUUGUGCAAAUCAAGUUUGUUUUUUUUUUAAUUUCUUGGUAUACCGCCUAAGAAGUGCACGAUUUAAGUCUUUUCUUCCUUGGAAACUGUUCCCCACUUAUGGUAACCAUCAGCACUGUUCGGGACGUGCCAUACUUGGUCAAUACUGUUGUCUCCGAGAGCUAUUUUGGAGCAAGCUAAGUUGGUUAUUCUUUUCUGUGUUGGUCAAUUGCUUAUAUAAAAAAACAUCCCAAUAAAAGAACCUGCC